RNAcentral lists this ribosomal RNA (1567 nucleotides) under uncultured Spirochaetota bacterium. Its description in RNAcentral is "bacterial SSU rRNA". It matches the Rfam family "Bacterial small subunit ribosomal RNA". The record is from RNAcentral. Lineage: Bacteria; Pseudomonadati; Spirochaetota.
ACGAACGCUGGCGGCGCGUCUUAAGCAUGCAAGUCGAGCGAUAAUCGGGGGCAACUCCGAUGAAAGCGGCGGACUGGUGAGUAACGCGUGGAUAACCUGCCUUGAGGCUGGGGAUAGCCGUUAGAAAUAGCGGGUAAUACCGAAUACGAUCGUCCGGCCGCCUGACCACUAAAGGAACAGCUGUAGCUAUGGAAAGUCUCUGAGAGUAAAGUUAUUAGAGAUUUUUAGUAGUGACAGGUGAAAUUAAGAAGAUUUUAGUGGUCAGGCGGUUGGAUGAGGAAAGGAGCUAAGGCUCCGCCUUAAGAGGGGUCCGCGUCCCAUUAGCUAGUUGGUGGUGUAACGGAUCACCAAGGCGAAGAUGGGUAGCCGGCCUGAGAGGGUGAACGGCCACACUGGGACUGAGAUACGGCCCAGACUCCUACGGGAGGCAGCAGCUAAGAAUAUUCCGCAAUGGGCGAAAGCCUGACGGAGCGACGCCGCGUGAACGAGGAAGGCCGAAAGGUUGUAAAGUUCUUUUGCGGAUGAAGAAUAAGCGGCGGAGGGAAUGCCGUCGCGAUGACGCAAGUCCGCGAAUAAGCCCCGGCUAAUUACGUGCCAGCAGCCGCGGUAACACGUAAGGGGCGAGCGUUGUUCGGAAUUAUUGGGCGUAAAGGGCGCGUAGGCGGCCGCGUAAGUCUGAUGUGAAAUAUCCGGGCUCAACCCGGGAACUGCAUUGGAAACUGUGCGGCUUGAGUCACGGAGGGGAAGCCGGAAUUCCUGGUGUAGGGGUGAAAUCUGUAGAUAUCAGGAAGAACACCGAUGGCGAAGGCAGGCUUCCAGCCGAUGACUGACGCUGAGGCGCGAAAGCGCGGGGAGCAAACAGGAUUAGAUACCCUGGUGGUCCGCGCUGUAAACGAUGCGCACUAGGCGUCGGGGCGAGCGUUCCGGUGCCGAAGCGAACGCGGUAAGUGCGCCGCCUGGGGAGUAUGCCCGCAAGGGUGAAACUCAAAGGAAUUGACGGGGGCCCGCACAAGCGGUGGAGCAUGUGGUUUAAUUCGAUGGUACGCGAGGAACCUUACCUGGGUUUGACAUGCAGGGGAAAGACGCCGAGAUGCGUCUGCGCAGCAAUGCGCCCCUGUGCAGGUGCUGCAUGGCUGUCGUCAGCUCGUGCCGUGAGGUGUUGGGUUAAGUCCCGCAACGAGCGCAACCCCUACCGCCAGUUACCAGCAGGAAAGCUGGGGACUCUGGCGGAACUGCCGGCGACAAGCCGGAGGAAGGCGGGGAUGACGUCAAGUCAUCAUGGCCCUUAUGUCCAGGGCUACACACGUGCUACAAUGGCCUGCACAAAGCGAAGCGAGUCCGAGAGGACAUAGCGAACCGCCGAAAGCCGGCCGUAGUCCGGAUUGAAGUCUGAAACCCGACUUCAUGAAGCUGGAAUCGCUAGUAAUCGCGCAUCAGCAUGGCGCGGUGAAUACGUUCCCGGGCCUUGUACACACCGCCCGUCACACCAUCCGAGUUGGGGGCACCCGAAGCCGGCAGUCUAACCGCAAGGGGGACGCUGUCGAAGGUGCGCCGGGCGAGGAGGGUG